UGAUCAUUAGCUCAGUCGGCAGAGUACCUGACUUUUAAUCAGGGUGUCCGGCGUUCGAGUCGCGGAUGACCCAUCA
This 76-nucleotide transfer RNA is filed under the name Syntrophomonas sp. Its description in RNAcentral is "tRNA-Lys". It matches the Rfam family "tRNA". From Rfam's summary of the family: Transfer RNA (tRNA) molecules are approximately 80 nucleotides in length. Their secondary structure includes four short double-helical elements and three loops (D, anti-codon, and T loops). Lineage: Bacteria; Bacillati; Bacillota; Clostridia; Eubacteriales; Syntrophomonadaceae. The record is from RNAcentral.